AGCACAGCGAGCCAGUGGCCGGAGGCUCAUUCGGCCCCUGGCAGGCCAGUGCCAGGACUCACGGUCUCACCUUGCGACAUCUCGGGACCUAGUGUUCUCACCUGUGAAAUGGGGAUAAGGAGAGUGCCCUCCUCACAGGAUGCUGAGCAUUCAAAGGAACGUAUGUAUAACAGCAGCCUGGCACAGAGCGAGGACUCGACACACGUAAAUGGCUGCUAUGAUGAUGAUGAUGACAAUGACAACUGUGAUGAUGACAGUGACAUAGUAAAGAGCUGGGCCAGAAGCAUGGGAGCAGGUGCUUCAGGCCAGAGCCCUGUGCCCCAGGGUCCUAUGUAGAUGGAACAGGACUGAGCCCAGGGAGGAAGGCCUGCCAGCAAUCCCAGCUGUCGAAAAGUCACCUGUCCAAACUCAAGCCGGGUGUCGAGGGGGGAGCGGUGGGAACCUGAGCGGGACAGGACUUCCUGGGGUCAGUACACAGCAGGCAGCCACCCCCUCACCCGGCCCAUCUGGUGCAGCCGUGGGCGCAGCAGCCCUUCCUACGGCUCCGGGUCCACCUGCUCCCGUCUGUGUGCGGCGAGUCUCUUUGCAAAUCCAACCAAAUACUAGUUCGGGAAAGCACGGGGGGCUCACGGCCCACUUCAGAGGCAGGGUUUACACCAUCAGCCAAAGACAGACAGCAUGGAAGGUGUUGAAGAGCUAAGCAAUUUCCCUGGCCUUGGCCAGGGCCUAAUAAAAGUCCCAAGGCAGCCCUCGCGGUGAGAAGACAACGACGGACUUCAUCCCCAUUAAGAGAAAGUAAGUUUUCCUAAAGCAGUGACAAAGAACUUUGUUAGCACCCGGGCGUUUGCGUUCAGUUCAGUUUCUGCUCUGAGCAUUAUGUGGCCCGGAGGAAAGAGCAGGAUUCUCUGGCGUGUGCGUAGCAUGUAUGUACGUGUAUAUAAUAUAUAUAGUAAUCCAAGUAAGGAUCUUUGAAGACACAACACAGAUGAGUUCAUCACCUUUUACAUGUUUGUUUCCUGUUCCUCCAAAUCCAUCAUUCCUGGUUCCAUCAGAGUUUAUGUAAAAAAUAACUGGAGUUUUAGUAGACUUCAAGCUGUAAAUAUGAAGCAACAAUGUGAAAUGGCUGCUAACUUAAGCUUGAGCUUCACGAAUGGAAUUCUCGUUUUUCAACAAAGGGGUGGAUGUCACAAGUCCAUCUAGCUUCCCCUCUGGAGCUUGAGGACCCCUGUAAAGAAAUAGAGGGCAAGCAUUUGGGAGGAGCUUGUGAAUUCACCGUAUGUCCAACCCCAAGGCGUAGGUCUGGGUCUAGCCGGGCCAUUCAGAGGCUGUGGCUUUGGGGACAAAUGAGAGGUAAAGCCAGAAGAGUCUCUUCAUUCCUGACCUCAACUCCCCGGUCUGUAAAGUGGAAGCCUCACUUCAGGGUCUGAGAGAACCCCAGUGGUUAGCAAUUCGAUGGAGGUGGGGCAGAACUGGAGAGGAAUGUGAGGAAAGAGAGAGGCAGCGAGAGAUCAGCUGCCCUAGAGGACCAAGGAAGGCACCAAAUUCUUUCCUGCACCCACCACCUCCCCGUCCUCCACUGUGACUCAGGCAAGCCCUUGAACCCCUUGGUUCCUCAUCUCCCAAUCAAUGUGAGAUAGUCAAGCACGGCAGUGGAGGAGAGGAAUGGACAGCUCUUCACAGGAAUAGGAAGCACCCGGUAAAUUCAAGCCGAGCCCCACUGCCCAGCCCCAAGGCAACUCUGAUCUUCUGCUUUUUGGAACUCAGUGGCCUGGAAAAUUGUCCCAGAGAAUCUGACUCUGCAGAGUCCUUAUGGAACAGGAUAAGGUGCCCCAACUGAACACACCCCUGCAGGAGCAUACAGAGCACAAAUCAAAGCAGACCUUUGGGAUGAGUGUGUGUGAGUUCAAGGGACUCUUCACUUUACACAAGGACUCGCCUAGCUCUCCUUUUCUGAGACAGCUUGAUGGACAUAGAUAAACCCAGGUUCUGAUCCAGCCUUGCCAGCUAACUUUUGACAAUCACUUAAUAUCUAUGAACUUCAUAUCCUUUUUUUUAAUGUUUAUUUAUUCUUGAAAGAGAAAGACAGAGAGCUAGUGGGGGAGGGGCAAAGAGAGAGAUACACAGAAUCUGAAACAGGCUCCAGGCUCUGAGCCAUCAGCACAGAGCCCGAUGCAGGGCUGGAACUCAGGAACUGCGAGUUCAUGACCUGAGCCGAAGUUGGACCCUCAACCAACUGAGCCACCGAGGUGCCCUAAACUUCAUAUUAUCUGGAAAAUGGAAAUAAUAUUCAGUUCUCUAAUCUCAUGAGGUCCUUGUGAGGAUUAAAAAGAUAAAUCAAGGCAGUAUUAUCGCUGUUGCUAUUAGCAGUAGCUCAUAAGGCACUACUGUAAGCAUCUUACACUUAUUAAUUCACUGAAUCAUUAAAUAGCCACUUACCCUGAGAACUUUAAAAUUAAUGUGCAUUAUCCCCUUAAAAGCUAAAAGUUUCGUUUAGAAAAACAAUUCACAAGAGAAAAAGUUAAACAACAGUAUAAUUCAGUAAUAUGAUUGGAUGAAAAAUAAACAUGCAAAAUAUCUAGAACAUUCAGGUACCCCACAGCCAGUGAGAAGAUAAAAGAAAUGCCUCCUUUACAAUAGUAAGAAAAGAAAAGUACUUAGGAAUAAACUUUAAAAAAGGUAUAGAAAAUCCGCAUAGAGAGAGCAGCUCCCAAAUGCUACUGAGAGAUCCGCCACCCUGCAAAACAAACAAAUAAACAAACAACACAAACAAACAAACAAAAA
Acinonyx jubatus (cheetah) is the source of this 2781-nucleotide long non-coding RNA. RefSeq lists it as uncharacterized. The transcript is spliced from 2 exons. Lineage: Eukaryota; Metazoa; Chordata; Mammalia; Carnivora; Felidae. The record is from RefSeq and is a predicted model, not a curated record.